Molecule: long non-coding RNA, 588 nt
Filed under: Capra hircus (goat)
Lineage: Eukaryota; Metazoa; Chordata; Mammalia; Artiodactyla; Bovidae
Description: lncRNA (ENSCHIG00010022225.1)
Source: RNAcentral
GCCGGCUCGGGAGCUUCGGCCGCGCGGGAGCGCCGGCCGGGUGUCCAGCGCCAGACAGGCUUCGUCGUCCUCCACCCUCGGCGAGGGGAGCGGCCGGGCUCGGGUCCGGAGGCUCGCGAGGAGCCGCUGGCCCUGUGAGUCAGUGCCUGUGCGGGGCUGAAGAAGGAAAGGAGAGGCCCCCAGCGCCCCAGCCCCACACUCGCUGAAUACCAAGCUGCAGCGAGCUGCCGGGUGCUUUUUUUUUUUUAAUCUCCUCCGAUUCGGAGUAGAAGAUCCACACUGCUUUCCUUCCAGGGGAGGGGAGGGGCAGGGCCCGAGGUCCCAAGUCGCACACAAGUCUUCGCUGCCAUGGGGGCCGUCAUGGGCACCUUCUCCUCUCUGCAAACCAAACAAAGACGACCCUCGAAAGGCACGUUCUGCAAAGCCGACUCUCAUGACGUCAUUGACAGUGUGUUGGCUGGUCUGCCCUCCCCCCGUCCCACCCACGUGUACGCUGUGCGCCUGGAGAUCAGAGGCGGCCUCUUAAUGAUCUUUGACACAGUGGUGGGCACAGGUAAGAGUCUACUAGAUACUGAACACAGGUCCUGG